Molecule: long non-coding RNA, 1384 nt
Organism: Girardinichthys multiradiatus
Lineage: Eukaryota; Metazoa; Chordata; Actinopteri; Cyprinodontiformes; Goodeidae
Exons: 2
Source: RefSeq, a predicted model, not a curated record
CUGGCCAAGCCCUAAGUAUUGUGUUCUUGCUGAAACUCACAGUUAUUUACCUUUUUGUGUGCUCCUUUCAAGGUGACUUCAAGUCCAAGCCUCAAAGCUCCUGCAGCUUUCAGUCAAGUUCCCAAGCUUCCAAGAAAUCUACCUGGAUCAAGUACUAGCUGACAGCUCAGUCUUCGUCCUCCUACAAGCGAACCCUGCUCACCUUCCACCUAUUCAAAUCCACAUCAAGCUUCCAGAAACCUCGUCCGGUAAUCAAGUUAAUGAAAAUCAAACGGUCAAGAACUUACCUGAACUUUCUCCUGGGAACUCACCUUCACCUCUGACUCACAGACUCAGCAGCUGCCUCAACCGCUCUCCCUGGCUCCACAUCAUUCUCCCUUGUCUAAAUUCAUCUUCAUCUCCAUGUGGAGUGCACGACUAACAGCUGCCUGUCAUUUUAACCCAGCUGAGCCACGGAUCUCUGCAGCUCUUCCAGAUUUACCAUGGGCCUCUUGACUGCUGCUAUGAUUAAUUGCCCAGUGUGUCAUUUUAGGUAGAUGUCUAGGUUUUGGCAAGUUUGUUGCAGUGCCAUACUAUUCCCAUUUUAAGGUUACAGACAAAUUAAACAAUGCUCAAGUGUCUAAAUCUUGGGAUAUUGUUUAAGAUGUUCUUCGUUGGUCUUUGUGAUGCUUAUUGAUUAUUAAUGCUCAUUAAUAAACCUGAGUCCCUCACAGAACAGCAGGAUUUAUACUGAGAUUUAAUUGUACAAAGUUGACGAGGUGUUAUACUAAAAGAAACAGAAAACAAAUGCACACCAAAUUUCUUUCUGCCAAUUUUUUUUUCUCCAAAAAAAUUGCUGAAGUCUAUCACCAUAAAACAUUGAAGUUUGUAAAGGUAACUGCAGGAAUGUGGAAAAGUCAAGAGGGUGUGAAUAUUUUUGUGUAAAUUACAUUUAGUUUUAUGACUUGUUUAUUUUUGAGACGGCUGCCAUCACUUCUAUUGAAACUACCACUUUUUCCCUGCCAGCCAGGGGUGUUCCCUUUUAGCCAGAUGCCACAGUGAUCAACACACACGACUCGUGCCAUCCGGUCUGAGGCCCCAGAUAUGAUAGACCACCUGGAAAGAGAAGAGACAAUGCAAACAUGGUUAUUUUCACAGCUUUGAUAUGCUAAACACACAAAAACCCACAGCAGUAAAAGGGCCAAUUUCUGUUGCUCAGUGUUUAGCUGUACACAGGGUGAGGACAUAGAGGAGCUCUGUUCAGCUCAUAUGCACUGGCUGUGGUCCUAUGCAAUGUGUUUACCAGAGCAGUGGAGAGAGACCCUCAUGCACACAAAUAGUAGUGGAGCUCAACACCCACUGGCCAUCUUGGAGACCAUCCAUAAUGCAUUUCAAGCAUGAGCAU